CCUACGGGUGGCAGCAGUGAGGAAUAUUGGUCAAUGGACGAGAGUCUGAACCAGCCAAGUAGCGUGAAGGAUGACUGCCCUAUGGGUUGUAAACUUCUUUUAUAUGGGAAUAAAAUGUUCCACGUGUGGGAUUUUGUAUGUACCAUAUGAAUAAGGAUCGGCUAACUCCGUGCCAGCAGCCGCGGUAAUACGGAGGAUCCGAGCGUUAUCCGGAUUUCUUGGGUUUAAAGGGAGAGUAGGUGGAUUAUUAAUGCAGUUGUGAAAGUUUGGGGGGCAACCGUAAAAUUGCAGUUGAAACUGGCAGUCUCGAGUACAGUAGAGGUGGGCGGAAUGCGUGGUGUAGCGGUGAAAUGCUUAGAUAUCACGAAGAACUCCGAUUGCGAAGGCAGCUCACUGGACUGCAACUGACACUGAGGCUCGAAAGUGUGGGUAUCAAACAGGAUUAGAUACCCUAGUAGUC
RNAcentral lists this ribosomal RNA (460 nucleotides) under uncultured bacterium. RNAcentral describes it as "partial 16S ribosomal RNA". It matches the Rfam family "Bacterial small subunit ribosomal RNA", at positions 338 to 795 of the family's 1533-position model. The record is from RNAcentral.